UCGGGCCUUGCGCUAUUCGAGCGGCCGAUAUCUGAUUAGCUAGUUGGUGGGGUAAAGGCCUACCAAGGCGACGAUCAGUAGCGGGUCUGAGAGGAUGAUCCGCCACACUGGGACUGAGACACGGCCCAGACUCCUACGGGAGGCAGCAGUGGGGAAUUUUGGACAAUGGGCGCAAGCCUGAUCCAGCCAUGCCGCGUGUCUGAAGAAGGCCUUCGGGUUGUAAAGGACUUUUGUCAGGGAAGAAAAGGCUGUUGCUAAUAUCAGCGGCUGAUGACGGUACCUGAAGAAUAAGCACCGGCUAACUACGUGCCAGCAGCCGCGGUAAUACGU
This 330-nucleotide ribosomal RNA is filed under the name Haemophilus influenzae. RNAcentral's name for it is "bacterial SSU rRNA". It matches the Rfam family "Bacterial small subunit ribosomal RNA", at positions 202 to 528 of the family's 1533-position model. Lineage: Bacteria; Pseudomonadati; Pseudomonadota; Gammaproteobacteria; Pasteurellales; Pasteurellaceae. The record is from RNAcentral.